Molecule: small nucleolar RNA, 100 nt
Filed under: Ricinus communis (castor bean)
Lineage: Eukaryota; Viridiplantae; Streptophyta; Magnoliopsida; Malpighiales; Euphorbiaceae
Description: Plant small nucleolar RNA R71
Rfam family: Plant small nucleolar RNA R71
About the family: R71 is a member of the C/D box family of snoRNAs containing the C (UGAUGA) and D (CUGA) box motifs. Multiple nearly identical copies of this snoRNA have been identified in Arabidopsis, and it is thought to function as a 2'-O-ribose methylation guide for 18S ribosomal RNA.
Source: Rfam by way of RNAcentral
AAACCGUGGUGUGGGCAACAUCUCAGCAAGUCCUUGUACUUCUCCAUGCAUCAUACAUGCUCUCAUCAUCAAACAAAAGAAGAAAUAUCAUUACGCAUCU